This is a long non-coding RNA of Oncorhynchus masou masou (cherry salmon), 219 nucleotides long. RefSeq lists it as uncharacterized. The record is from RefSeq and is a predicted model, not a curated record. The transcript is spliced from 3 exons. Lineage: Eukaryota; Metazoa; Chordata; Actinopteri; Salmoniformes; Salmonidae.
GUGAAAUUAUAGAUAUCGGUUUAGGUCAAAAGAUGCACCUGAUGUGCAAAGGACAAGGACAGCCAGUUGUCCUACUGGAUGCCCCCACUGGUAUGUCCUCUGACAUCUGGUUCCAUGUACAAGAGAACAUUGCACUGCUAACCAAGGUGUGCACUUAUGACAGAGUGGGACUGGGGUUCAGCAAAAGAGUCCUGCAGAAUGAAAGUACAGGGACGGAGA